GACGAACGCUGGCGGCGUGCUUGACACAUGCAAGUCGAACGGAAAGGCCUGCUUUCCCUUGUGGAUUGCGGGUACUCGAGUGGCGAACGGGUGAGUAACACGUGAGUGAUCUGCCCCCAACUUGGGUAUAAGCCUGGGAAACUGGGUCUAAUUCCCGAUAGGACUGCAGGGUGGUGCCUGUGGUGGAAAACGAUUUUCUAGUGGUUGGGGAUGAGCUCGCGGCCUAUCAGCUUGUUGGUGGGGUAAUGGCCUACCAAGGCGGCGACGGGUAGCCGGCCUGAGAGGGUGGACGGCCACAUUGGGACUGAGAUACGGCCCAGACUCCUACGGAGGCAGCAGUGGGGAAUAUUGCACAAUGGGCGGAAGCCUGAUGCAGCGACGCCGCGUGGGGGAUGACGGCCUUCGGGUUGUAAACUCCUUUCGACCGCGAGGAAGCCACCUGGUUGGAAGGGUGGUGACGGUAGUGGUAGAAGAAGCACCGGCUAACUACGUG
RNAcentral lists this ribosomal RNA (493 nucleotides) under uncultured bacterium. RNAcentral describes it as "partial 16S ribosomal RNA". It matches the Rfam family "Bacterial small subunit ribosomal RNA", at positions 28 to 507 of the family's 1533-position model. The record is from RNAcentral.